AUUGAACGCUGGCGGCAGGCCUAACACAUGCAAGUCGAGCGGAUGAAGGGAGCUUGCUCCUGGAUUCAGCGGCGGACGGGUGAGUAAUGCCUAGGAAUCUGCCUGGUAGUGGGGGAUAACGUCCGGAAACGGGCGCUAAUACCGCAUACGUCCUGAGGGAGAAAGUGGGGGAUCUUCGGACCUCACGCUAUCAGAUGAGCCUAGGUCGGAUUAGCUAGUUGGUGGGGUAAAGGCCUACCAAGGCGACGAUCCGUAACUGGUCUGAGAGGAUGAUCAGUCACACUGGAACUGAGACCCGGCCCAGACCCCUAAGGGGGGCAGAAGGGGGGAAUUUUGGAAAUGGGGCGAAAGCCUGAUCCAGCCAUGCCGCGUGUGUGAAAAAGGUUUUCGGAUUUUAAAGCCCUUUAAGUUGGGAGGAAGGGCAGUAAGUUAAAACCUUGCUGUUUUGACUUUACCAACAGAAUAAGCACCGGCUAACUUCGU
Molecule: ribosomal RNA, 483 nt
Filed under: uncultured bacterium
Lineage: Bacteria
Description: partial 16S ribosomal RNA
Rfam family: Bacterial small subunit ribosomal RNA
Source: RNAcentral